GACGAACGCUGGCGGCGUGCCUAAUACAUGCAAGUAGAACGCUGAAGCUUGGUGCUUGCACCGAGCGGAUGAGUUGCGAACGGGUGAGUAACGCGUAGGUAACCUGCCUGGUAGCGGGGGAUAACUAUUGGAAACGAUAGCUAAUACCGCAUAAGAGUAGAUGUUGCAUGACAUUUGCUUAAAAGGUGCAAUUGCAUCACUACCAGAUGGACCUGCGUUGUAUUAGCUAGUUGGUGAGGUAACGGCUCACCAAGGCAACGAUACAUAGCCGACCUGAGAGGGUGAUCGGCCACACUGGGACUGAGACACGGCCCAGACUCCUACGGGAGGCAGCAGUAGGGAAUCUUCGGCAAUGGACGGAAGUCUGACCGAGCAACGCCGCGUGAGUGAAGAAGGUUGUCGGAUCGUAAAGCUCUGUUGUAAGAGAAGAACGAGUGUGAGAGUGGAAAGUUCACACUGUGACGGUAGCUUACCAGAAAGGGACGGCUAACUACGUG
RNAcentral lists this ribosomal RNA (497 nucleotides) under uncultured bacterium. RNAcentral describes it as "partial 16S ribosomal RNA". It matches the Rfam family "Bacterial small subunit ribosomal RNA", at positions 28 to 507 of the family's 1533-position model. The record is from RNAcentral.